Molecule: long non-coding RNA, 1656 nt
Organism: Chelonia mydas (Green sea turtle)
Lineage: Eukaryota; Metazoa; Chordata; Testudines; Cheloniidae
Exons: 3
Source: RefSeq, a predicted model, not a curated record
UGGAGCACCUGCAGUCAAUUAAGGCCCUGUUAGGAACCUAAUAAAACCCCCUGCUUCAGGCAGACAGAGAAGAGGAGGAAAGAGAGAGGGCUAGAGCUUGGAAGUAUGAUGUAAGACUUGGAAAAAUCAGAGACCUGAAGUAAGGGGGGGACCCUAUCCAGUAGGGGAGAGAGACUCCCUUCCCCAGCAUCUAAGGACUGCAGACGAACUCUGGUUACCCAUCUAUGGUUCUGCCCUCAAGUUUGUCUCCUGCUUCCGAUCUCCUGGUAACCUGACCCUGCCUGCCUCCUGAUGCCCAACUCUCAGUUUGCGUUCUGGUCUGUCUUGGACUCUGGACUCUGCCUGGCCUGGCUCCUGUUAUGACCACUAGGUCAUACCACCCACAUCCUGGUUAUGACACAUGGUCUGGGGGGCAACAUACGUUCUCAGAAGUUUGGCACUUUGAGCCACUAGCAAUCUGUGAUCCAUUCUAGAAUUAUCUAAAAUGACAGCAAUGAUGAGAUCCAAGCCUCCGUGACUUGUUUUGAUCAGCCAGAUACCCAACUGCUCUGAUGAGGGGUAUUCGCACCCCCAGUUUGCCUAAUUAUUUCUGACAUGUCAUCUGUCAUACUACAGGAUGUUGCUCUUCAAGAUUUAAAGGUAAAAAUGAAUGGACUGGAAGGGAAAAGCACUGCUAUACUUCAAUACUGGCUCUCAGCAGCUUUCUCUUUUAUCUCUCUUGGCUUUAGGGGCACAUGAAACUGUAAGAUGUGACUGGAAAAAUUAACUCCCAUGAGAAAGUAGCUUUUUAAAAUAAGAAGCUUAUAAAUUAGACUUUUACCAUGCAGGCAAAAAUGUUUUACUGUUAAUGUUAGUUAGUUUGUGGUGAUGCCAGAGAAUAUCAUUUCCUUUGUAGCACUCUGUUUCCUCCGUUGGAUAACUCUGAUUUUUUUUGUCACAUUUCCCAUUUCUCUAACAAACUGGAGCUUUUAUUUGUACUCUUUGCUGCCCGGGGAACAGCAAUUUAAGCUAUUAAUUUGGUCCCAGACUGGAACCGGUUUAAAGAAUCUCACCUACAGUCAUACCACAUGGAACUGUGAUCUUAAGCUGAAUAAACACAGCUAGUAUUUGCAGUGUGAGUGCUCGAGGGGAAGCCCGGGUUUUGCAGGAAGAUGUGCUGUUAAUUCUGUAGGUCGCACACUUUCUUAUGAGCACAGAACCAAAGAUGCUAGACAGCCCUGUGUGGCUGGAGGUGUACCCUUUCAGAAAAGUAUAUGAAUGAAAGGUACUGAACUACUGUAUCUUAUAAAUAACCUGUGGCACUUUAAAUGUUCUUAAUUCUAUUAAGGGGAAAACAGAAACCAUAACAAUCACAAGGAAAUAAAAAAAUACAAAGGUAAAUACAGGAUUAAACCAUAUUCAUCAACUCAGACAGUAAUAUAUUAAAUUUCUUUAUUACUUUGUAUGAAAACACAGAAGAAUAGAACAAAAGCAAAGAGGAGUAAGAACAAGCAAUAGAAAACACGAGAGAGAGAUGACACUCUGAACAUAGCAAGUCAAAAAAUAUUGUCAUUUUACAGCUACAGCAUCAGCCUGUAAAUGUCUCCAGCAAUGCUUGCUUUACCACACCUAUUAGUAGAGUUCUGUAAACAUCCCCAUUCUGUAGUUUUCAGUCAA